RNAcentral lists this ribosomal RNA (77 nucleotides) under Acanthosepion pharaonis. Lineage: Eukaryota; Metazoa; Mollusca; Cephalopoda; Sepiida; Sepiidae. The record is from RNAcentral.
GAUCACUGAAGUUAAGCAACGCCGAGUCUGGUUAGUACCUAGAUGGGUGAUCUCUUGGGAAUUCUAGGUGCUGUAAG